GAACCGGAACGGGACGGGAAGGGAACCGGAACGGAACGGGACGGGAACUGAACCGGAACAGGAACGGAACGGGGCCGUGCCGGUGCUGGCGGCGGUCUGCAGUGCUCACACCCCGCCCCUCCCCCCGCGGCACGGGGCUGCAGUGACGCCGGUGGCCGAACGGGGGCGCCGCCCCUUUAUUAAAACUUUUGUCCAGGGGUCAAAGGUCACCGAGCGCAGCCCGGGGGUCCCUGAGGCGUCACGGGGUCACAGUGCAAAGGUCACGGCCGGGAGGGGGGUCAGAGGUCAGCAGCAGAGUGCCCGCAGGACAGCAGAGGGCAAAGGGCGCCAGAGGGCAAAGGUCAGCACCAAUAAGUCACCAGAGGUCAAAGGUCAGCAGGAGGUCACAGGAGGUCCCUGAGGUUGAGGCCACCGAGAGAGGUCAGGAGCACCACAGAGCUUGGCACGAGGUCAGCAGGAGAGCAGGGGUCACCCAGGGGUCACAGGGUCAUCCAGGGGUCACACCCAGAGGUCACCCAGGGGCCACUGAGGGGUCACCCGGGGGUCACCCAGAGGUCACCCAAGGG
Molecule: long non-coding RNA, 566 nt
Organism: Ficedula albicollis (Collared flycatcher)
Lineage: Eukaryota; Metazoa; Chordata; Aves; Passeriformes; Muscicapidae
Exons: 2
Source: RefSeq, a predicted model, not a curated record